This 113-nucleotide small RNA is filed under the name Bacillus massilioanorexius. RNAcentral describes it as "RNA Staph. aureus E (RoxS)". It matches the Rfam family "RNA Staph. aureus E (RoxS)". Rfam says of the family: It was shown to be regulated by the presence of nitric oxide (NO). In Bacillus subtilis it controls expression of genes with functions related to oxidative stress and oxidation-reduction reactions and it was renamed RoxS (for related to oxidative stress). Lineage: Bacteria; Bacillati; Bacillota; Bacilli; Caryophanales; Bacillaceae. The record is from RNAcentral.
GUGAAGUUGAUCACAAGCAAACAUAUACCCCUUUGUUUGACCGUGAAAAAUUUCUCCCAUCCCCUUUGUUCGUAUGAAUAGAAGAAGCCCUGCUUAUCCCGGCAGGGCUUUUU